This is a non-coding RNA of Solirubrobacterales bacterium 67-14, 89 nucleotides long. Lineage: Bacteria; Bacillati; Actinomycetota; Thermoleophilia; Solirubrobacterales. The record is from Rfam.
GGAGAGGUGUCCGAGCGGCUUAAGGAGCGCGAUUGGAAAUCGCGUGGGCGGGAUCUCUCGCCUCGUGGGUUCGAAUCCCACCCUCUCCG